Molecule: long non-coding RNA, 245 nt
Organism: Scleropages formosus (Asian bonytongue)
Lineage: Eukaryota; Metazoa; Chordata; Actinopteri; Osteoglossiformes; Osteoglossidae
Exons: 3
Source: RefSeq, a predicted model, not a curated record
UUUUAUUUCUUAUCUGUAAUGAGUUUCCCUUCCUUCUCAAGGACGCUUCAUUUCCGGAAAAUUCAUUUUAUAUUUUAAGGGGGCAUGCAACUUACCGUAGUAUAAAAUAGUAUUAGCAGGUUUUUCCACACUACAGCGUUUCUUGAACAACACUCAAGACAUUCAACAACUAAUCUGCAUGUUACAGAUGAUGAACAGGAGCAAGGACGCUACAUCAGUGCAAAGUGAGAAUGUGCGUUUGUCUA